This 219-nucleotide unclassified non-coding RNA is filed under the name Borreliella valaisiana. RNAcentral describes it as "5S-23S ribosomal RNA intergenic spacer". The record is from RNAcentral. Lineage: Bacteria; Pseudomonadati; Spirochaetota; Spirochaetia; Spirochaetales; Borreliaceae.
AGUAAGUUUUUGCCAGGGUUUUUAUUUUGUAAUUUAAACCUUAAAUUUAUUUUUUAUAUUUUUUUAAUGUUCAUGUUUUUGAAUGUUUUAUUCAAAUAAUGUAAAAAAUAAAAUAGAUAUUGACAUGGAUUGAACAAAAGAUAUAUAUUAUUUUAUGUUGCAUAAACAAAUUGGCAAAAUAGAGAUGGAAGAUAAAAAUAUGGUCAAAGUAAUAAGAGU